UUCUAGAGUUAUCUACUGGAUCUCUACCUUGUACAAAACCAAUUUGAUCAUUUUUAAUUAUAUUAUCCAUUAAACCUCUUAAUCUAUGAGCCAAAACUGAAGAAAAAAUCUUAACAUCUGUAUUGAUUAAGGAGAUAGGUCUAUAAUUUUCUACCUUUAGAGGAUCUUUGUUAUCUUUAAGAAUUGGAAGAAUAUUUGCACUCAACAUUUCUGUAGGAAAUUUACCAAC
This is a non-coding RNA of Pelobates cultripes (western spadefoot toad), 229 nucleotides long. Lineage: Eukaryota; Metazoa; Chordata; Amphibia; Anura; Pelobatidae. The record is from the annotation of a GenBank genome assembly.